This 466-nucleotide ribosomal RNA is filed under the name uncultured bacterium. Its description in RNAcentral is "partial 16S ribosomal RNA". It matches the Rfam family "Bacterial small subunit ribosomal RNA", at positions 28 to 507 of the family's 1533-position model. The record is from RNAcentral.
GAUGAACGCUGGCGGCGUGCUUAACACAUGCAAGUCGAACGGAAAGGCUCCUGCUUGCAGGGGUACUCGAGUGGCGAACGGGUGAGUAACACGUGGGUGAUCUGCCCUGCACUUCGGGAUAAGCCUGGGAAACUGGGUCUAAUACCGGAUAGGACGAUGGUUUGGAUGCCAUUGUGGAAAGUUUUUUCGGUGUGGGAUGAGCUCGCGGCCUAUCAGCUUGUUGGUGGGGUAAUGGCCUACCAAGGCGUCGACGGGUAGCCGGCCUGAGAGGGUGUACGGCCACAUUGGGACUGAGAUACGGCCCAGACUCCUACGGGAGGCAGCAGUGGGGAAUAUUGCACAAUGGGCGCAAGCCUGAUGCAGCGACGCCGCGUGGGGGAUGACGGCCUUCGGGUUGUAAACUCCUUUCGCUAGGGACGGAGCGCAAGCGACGGUACCUGGAGAAGAAGCACCGGCUAACUACGUG